RNAcentral lists this long non-coding RNA (360 nucleotides) under Rattus norvegicus (Norway rat). Its description in RNAcentral is "long non-coding RNA NONRATT015168". The record is from RNAcentral. Lineage: Eukaryota; Metazoa; Chordata; Mammalia; Rodentia; Muridae.
UUACUAAACUUUCGUUGAAGCACCAUGUUCCCUUUGAACCUCCUGCCCAUUUUACCUCUAAGAAAAGAUCUCCUCCUACCAGUUCUCUAUCCUUUAGCCCUCACCAAAAACCUAGCCACUUUUAGGCACACAGUUGCUUUAAGAAGAACCAUUCUCACGACUGGACCGACACUCAAGGAAAUGGACAAAUUACAGGGCCCAUGGUGAACAACAUCAGGACUGCAGGAUUUCUGAGGAACUACAAUAUCCCAAAUGACAUCACUGUCUAAAAAGCUAAAAUACUGACACGUAGAGAACAUUACAAAUAGUCUAUCUUUGAGUAUCCCUUUUUUUGGUGUGUUGAAUAAAAAGUGAACAGUG